This 757-nucleotide ribosomal RNA is filed under the name uncultured marine haptophyte. RNAcentral's name for it is "bacterial SSU rRNA". It matches the Rfam family "Bacterial small subunit ribosomal RNA", at positions 548 to 1313 of the family's 1533-position model. The record is from RNAcentral. Lineage: Eukaryota; Haptophyta.
GAAUCAUUGGGCGUAAAGCGCCUGUAGGUUGUUUAAUAAGUCCGUUGUUAAAGACUAGGGCUUAACCCUAGGAAAGCGAUGGAAACUGAUAGACUUGAGUAUGGCAGGGGUAGAGGGAAUUUCUAGUGUAGCGGUGAAAUGCGUAGAUAUUAGAAAGAACACCGGUGGCGAAAGCGCUCUACUGGACCAUUACUGACACUGAGAGGCGAAAGCUAGGGGAGCGAAAGGGAUUAGAUACCCCUGUAGUCCUAGCCGUAAACGAUGGAUACUAGAUGUUGUGCAAUUUGGACAGUAUCGUAGCUAACGCGUUAAGUAUCCCGCCUGGGGAGUACGCUCGCAAGGGUGAAACUCAAAGGAAUUGACGGGGGCCCGCACAAGCGGUGGAGCAUGUGGUUUAAUUCGAUGCAACGCGAAGAACCUUACCAGGGCUUGACAUACUACAGAUCUUUUUGAGAAAGAAGAGUGCCUUCGGGAAUGUAGAUACAGGUGGUGCAUGGCUGCCGUCAGCUCGUGUCGUGAGAUGUUGGGUUAAGUCCCGCAACGAGCGCAACCCUCGUUUUUAGUUGCCAAUUUAUUGGGAUCUCUAGAAAGACUGCCGGUGACAAACCGGAGGAAGGUGAGGAUGACGUCAAGUCAGCAUGCCCCUUAUGUCCUGGGCCACACACGUGCUACAAUGGUAAAGACAAAGAGUCGCCAAUUCGCGAGAAUGAGCUAAUCUCAUAAACUUUAUCUAAGUUCGGAUUGUAGGCUGCAACUC